CCAGACUCCUACGGGAGGCAGCAGUGGGGGAUAUUGCACAAUGGGGGAAACCCUGAUGCAGCAACGCCGCGUGUGGGAAGAAGGUUUUCGGAUUGUAAACCACUGUUCUUGGUGAAGAUAAUGACGGUAACCAAGGAGAAAGCUCCGGCUAACUACGUGCCAGCAGCCGCGGUAAUACGUAGGGAGCAAGCGUUGUCCGGAUUUACUGGGUUUAAAGGGUGCGUAGGCGGAGUGUCAAGUCAGCGGUAAAAUUUCGGGGCUCAACCCCGUCGUGCCGUUGAAACUGACGCCCUUGAGUGAGUGAGAAGUAAGCGGAAUGCGUGGUGUAGCGGUGAAAUGCAUAGAUAUCACGCAGAACGCCGAUUGCGAAGGCAGCUUACCGGCGCUCAACUGACGCUGAGGCACGAAAGUGCGGGUAUCGAACAGGAUUAGAUACCCCAGUAC
Molecule: ribosomal RNA, 444 nt
Filed under: uncultured bacterium
Lineage: Bacteria
Description: bacterial SSU rRNA
Rfam family: Bacterial small subunit ribosomal RNA
Source: RNAcentral